RNAcentral lists this ribosomal RNA (838 nucleotides) under Citrobacter freundii. RNAcentral's name for it is "partial 23S ribosomal RNA". It matches the Rfam family "Bacterial large subunit ribosomal RNA", at positions 911 to 1746 of the family's 2925-position model. Lineage: Bacteria; Pseudomonadati; Pseudomonadota; Gammaproteobacteria; Enterobacterales; Enterobacteriaceae. The record is from RNAcentral.
UGUUUCGGCUAGGGGGUCAUCCCGACUUACCAACCCGAUGCAAACUGCGAAUACCGAAGAAUGUUAUCACGGGAGACACACGGCGGGUGCUAACGUCCGUCGUGAAGAGGGAAACAACCCAGACCGCCAGCUAAGGUCCCAAAGUCAUGGUUAAGUGGGAAACGAUGUGGGAAGGCACAGACAGCCAGGAUGUUGGCUUAGAAGCAGCCAUCAUUUAAAGAAAGCGUAAUAGCUCACUGGUCGAGUCGGCCUGCGCGGAAGAUGUAACGGGGCUAAACCAUGCACCGAAGCUGCGGCAGCGACACUAUGUGUUGUUGGGUAGGGGAGCGUUCUGUAAGCCGUUGAAGGUGGCCUGUGAGGGUUGCUGGAGGUAUCAGAAGUGCGAAUGCUGACAUAAGUAACGAUAAUGCGGGUGAAAAACCCGCACGCCGGAAGACCAAGGGUUCCUGUCCAACGUUAAUCGGGGCAGGGUGAGUCGACCCCUAAGGCGAGGCCGAAAGGCGUAGUCGAUGGGAAACAGGUUAAUAUUCCUGUACUUGGUGUUACUGCGAAGGGGGGACGGAGAAGGCUAUGUUAGCCGGGCGACGGUUGUCCCGGUUUAAGCAUGUAGGCGGAGGUUCCAGGUAAAUCCGGUACCUUUUUAACGCUGAGGUGUGAUGACGAGGCACUACGGUGCUGAAGUAACAAAUGCCCUGCUUCCAGGAAAAGCCUCUAAGCAUCAGGUAACACGAAAUCGUACCCCAAACCGACACAGGUGGUCAGGUAGAGAAUACCAAGGCGCUUGAGAGAACUCGGGUGAAGGAACUAGGCAAAAUGGUGCCGUAACUUCGGGAGAAGG